RNAcentral lists this transfer RNA (73 nucleotides) under Anaerolinea thermophila. RNAcentral's name for it is "tRNA-Lys". It matches the Rfam family "tRNA". From Rfam's summary of the family: Transfer RNA (tRNA) molecules are approximately 80 nucleotides in length. Their secondary structure includes four short double-helical elements and three loops (D, anti-codon, and T loops). The record is from RNAcentral. Lineage: Bacteria; Bacillati; Chloroflexota; Anaerolineae; Anaerolineales; Anaerolineaceae. RNAcentral also lists the same sequence under 4 other names.
GGUCCACUAGCUCAACUGGCAGAGCAACUGACUCUUAAUCAGUGGGUUCGGGGUUCGAGUCCCCGGUGGAUCA